Molecule: long non-coding RNA, 311 nt
Filed under: Homo sapiens (human)
Lineage: Eukaryota; Metazoa; Chordata; Mammalia; Primates; Hominidae
Description: lncAB178.1
Source: RNAcentral
AUCUGUUUAAUAAAUAUACAUCAUAAAAGUACCAAAAUAAUUACCAACAAUACAUUAUGUACACCAUUUACAGGAGGGUAACACAAACCUUGACAGGUAGUAACUUUUCACCCCACAUCACUGAACGCUUAACACUCCUGGCUGUUACAUGUCACAGGAUACCACUGGGGUCAGUCACUCGAAGCACAAUAAAUAUAAAAUGUGGUCCUUCCAUGAAAUUUUUGAUAACCUUCUCCAAAAACCCCACAAAGGUGAGGUUUAAAAGAAGUUUUCUCAGAAUUUCAAUGAUCUUUCUCGUCCCCUACAAAAAG